GAUCGGGUCUGUGGUGAUUUGGCCGGCCGGCUUGCAGCCACGUUAAACAAAUCGCUAAAUGGGCCGAGGAACAGAUCAA
Molecule: non-coding RNA, 79 nt
Filed under: Rhizobium sp.
Lineage: Bacteria; Pseudomonadati; Pseudomonadota; Alphaproteobacteria; Hyphomicrobiales; Rhizobiaceae
Also listed under: 1 other name
Source: RNAcentral